GGAAUUGCUAGUAAUGGCAGGUCAGCAUACUGCCGUGAAUACGUUCCCGGGCCUUGUACACACCGCCCGUCACACCAUGAGAGUUGGAAAUACCCGAAGCCUGUGAGCUAACUGUAAAGAGGCAGCAGUCGAAGGUAGAGCCAAUGAUUGGGGUGAAGUCGUAACAAGGUACC
RNAcentral lists this ribosomal RNA (173 nucleotides) under uncultured bacterium. Its description in RNAcentral is "partial 16S ribosomal RNA". It matches the Rfam family "Bacterial small subunit ribosomal RNA", at positions 1328 to 1500 of the family's 1533-position model. The record is from RNAcentral.